UACGUAGGUGGCAAGCGUUAUCCGGAUUUAUUGGGCGUAAAGGGAACGCAGGCGGUCAUUUAAGUCUGAUGUGAAAGCCUUCGGCUUAACCGGAGUAGUGCAUUGGAAACUGGGAGACUUGAGUGCAGAAGAGGAGAGUGGAACUCCAUGUGUAGCGGUGAAAUGCGUAGAUAUAUGGAAGAACACCAGUGGCGAAAGCGGCUCUCUGGUCUGUAACUGACGCUGAGGUUCGAAAGCGUGGGUAGCAAACAGG
This 253-nucleotide ribosomal RNA is filed under the name uncultured bacterium. RNAcentral's name for it is "partial 16S ribosomal RNA". It matches the Rfam family "Bacterial small subunit ribosomal RNA", at positions 524 to 776 of the family's 1533-position model. The record is from RNAcentral.